AUGAGAUGUCGACCCGGAGGUCGAAAAAAUUUCGAAACUAGGGGUCAACCAGGGAUUGAUCCAGUGGUCGGUGAGCAUUCGAGUAGGUGGGGUCAUUUCGCCUUAAGCUUUCUUUGACAGAUCUGAUAGUUUCUGUCCUCGUCAGUCUGAAAUUUCUGAGGGUGAGUCCCAAAAUCCAUGGCUGAGGUUGCACGACCCCACAACAAGAGGUAAUAAUAUUUAUGAUCGCAAGC
Molecule: long non-coding RNA, 233 nt
Filed under: Elaeis guineensis (African oil palm)
Lineage: Eukaryota; Viridiplantae; Streptophyta; Magnoliopsida; Arecales; Arecaceae
Description: long non-coding RNA (EGUI_LNC065749)
Source: RNAcentral